Molecule: transfer RNA, 72 nt
Filed under: Phrynosoma platyrhinos (Desert horned lizard)
Lineage: Eukaryota; Metazoa; Chordata; Lepidosauria; Squamata; Phrynosomatidae
Description: tRNA-OTHER
Source: RNAcentral
GCCAGCAUGGUGUAGUGGUUUGAGUGUUGGACUAUGACUCUGGGGACCAGGGUUCAAUUCCCAGCUCAGCCA